This 119-nucleotide ribosomal RNA is filed under the name Pteropus alecto (black flying fox). Lineage: Eukaryota; Metazoa; Chordata; Mammalia; Chiroptera; Pteropodidae. The record is from RNAcentral.
AUCUACGGCCAAGUUACCCUGAACAAGCCCAAUUCAGCCCGAUCUCGGAAGCUAAGCAGGGUCAGGCCUGGUUAGUACUUGGAUGGGAGACCACGUAGGAAGACCAGGUGCUAUAGGUG